CUGUAGGGCCUCCAUCAA
RNAcentral lists this non-coding RNA (18 nucleotides) under Mus musculus (house mouse). Lineage: Eukaryota; Metazoa; Chordata; Mammalia; Rodentia; Muridae. The record is from RNAcentral.